GGAUGAGCUGUGUGACUCCAACACCUGCAGACAAUCAGUUCAUCAAGCAGUGAUUGGCUGAAAGCAGCAAUUAACACCAACUCACUGCUUCACAUACAGAGCAAGCAGCUUCUCCAGAGUUGGGUUGCUUUUGCUACCAUCUGAAGUGCGUGCAGCAGAAACUCCAUGCAAAUCUUGCUGAUUUACUUAGUUCAAAUAGAGCUUGGUGGUGGCUUCUAGGUUGAAGAAGGACUCAUCUCGUUCCAGUCGUUCUCUGAGAACUAAUGCGUUUCGAGCUCUAACCAGACGAGGGCGCCACUGCGUCAGCGACAGAGGAAGAGCCAGCUGAUAUGAAAGGCUUUGCAGAUUGUUUUGACGUCCGUCAUGGAGAAGCGGGCCGAGUUUCAAAGAUAGUGACGUCACGUGCAAAGGGCCAAUAUGAUGAAUCGCAAACUGCGGUAGCUCUUCGAGCCUCCCGAACCUUGCUACAGCUACAAAAUGUUAAGUAUUUUGCUGGGCUUUCAUGAGACUGAUCAAAAUUUAUUGGAAAAGUACCCAAGAGGCUCAAGGGAACUCUGGAGAAGCUGCAGGGGUCUCCAGCUCAGUGUACGAGGAUAUUUGCACUAGAAACUAGACCAAAAACACUUGAAUCUACUGACGUUUCUGGUGUCCAGUUUAUUUCCAUCUCACUGACACACUUCACAGAGUCCAGCUCUUUCAGACAAAAUCCUGGCAACUAAAACAAGGAUUCACUGAGUUUAUUUGGGUUUUUUUCUGAGGGAUCUUGAUCUCAGUGAGACUUCCUAAAUUAACAGAACUUCAGUGGAGCCACAUGAAGAAGACGCAGGUGCCUUUGAACACCCAGCCGGUGCUACAUUUAGCCCAUGCUGACUGUUUUUGCUCUAAUGGAUGUUAUUUUGUUCCUUUCCUUUCCUUGAGGACCACAAUGGAAAUAAAUAUUUGCACAUUUUUUAA
Molecule: long non-coding RNA, 954 nt
Organism: Poecilia latipinna (sailfin molly)
Lineage: Eukaryota; Metazoa; Chordata; Actinopteri; Cyprinodontiformes; Poeciliidae
Exons: 6
Source: RefSeq, a predicted model, not a curated record